This 465-nucleotide ribosomal RNA is filed under the name uncultured bacterium. Its description in RNAcentral is "bacterial SSU rRNA". It matches the Rfam family "Bacterial small subunit ribosomal RNA", at positions 329 to 792 of the family's 1533-position model. The record is from RNAcentral.
AACCAGACUCCUACGGGAGGCAGCAGUGAGGAAUAUUGGUCAAUGGCCGAGAGGCUGAACCAGCCAAGUCACGUGAGGGAUGACGGCCCUACGGGUUGUAAACCUCUUUUGUCGGGGAGCAAAGAGAGUCACGUGUGACUCAUUGAGAGUACCCGAAGAAAAAGCAUCGGCUAACUCCGUGCCAGCAGCCGCGGUAAUACGGAGGAUGCGAGCGUUAUCCGGAUUUAUUGGGUUUAAAGGGUGCGCAGGCGGGGAGUUAAGGCGGGGGUAAAAUUGGGGGGCUCACCCCCGGCGAGCCGUUGAAACUGGCUUGCUAGAGUGGGCGAGAAGUAUGCGGAAUGCGUGGUGUAGCGGUGAAAUGCAUAGAUAUCACGCAGAACUCCGAUUGCGAAGGCAGCAUACCGGCGCCCAACUGACGCUCAGGCACGAAAGCGUGGGUAUCGAACAGGAUUAGAUACCCCCGUA